GAAACCCUGGGCCGCUGAAGCGGAGUGCACGAACUUAACCACUAGGCCAUGGGGCUGGCUCCUGGGGAGGUUUUAAGAUUGCAUUUAUAAUCAGAAUCUCUGGGAGUGGGGUCCAGGCACUUUAUUUAUAAAAAAUUUCCCAAGUGACUCUAAUGUGCAGCCAGGUUUGGGAUCACUGGCCUAGAGUCACCAAAUUUUAAAGAGAAGUCCUAUUGUGCACAGUACACAGCUCCAGCUUCUCCUUGGAUGUUCUGUGACAGACAUAUUGUGAAUAUCAUUAAAAACAAACAAAUUUCAAAAAAAAUGUGUUCAUUGAUGCAUUUCCAAAGGUACAUUAACCAUCACAGUGUUCUCAAAUGUAAUAACUAUCCACAAUAGGCCCCACUCAAAAUCUCACAACAUUAGAUGGAACCUGUGUUUAAUGAACCACACUGGGUUGAAUGCCAACUGCUUCUUGUAACAAAUCCUACUACUGUUAUGGCACCCAUGGUCUGAAGACUUUCCUAAACAUCUGCCUAUGGGCUUCUCAUGGUAUUUUGAUCUCAAGAUUCGUUCUUUCCUCAUCAAGGGUUGGGAGUGAAGCAUAAAAGUGCAAAAACAAGUAAGGAUUGAGGCGUGAAUUAUAAAAGUGCAAAACAACAACAUGAGGACGAUUUGGAAAAUGAGGAAAAUGACUUGUGCAACAUUACCCAGCUAUGUAGUGGUAGAACUACAAUUAAGUCUCUGGUUUGCUGUCUCCUAUUCCAAUGAGUUUCUCACUUCAUGUUAAUAGCUACCAAUUGUUGAAUGUCAAUUAUAUUAUAGGUAUUAUGUUAGGAAUUUUAUAUGUUCAACAAAUGUCCCUACUUUGUGUUCCUACAAGUAAAUACUAAGUGCUGGAUUCUGGGUAUACAGUAAUGGAUCAAGAUAGAAUUCUUAUCUUCACAGAGUUUUAAAGAAAUAAACAAGGCCUGAAAACUAUGUCUAAGGAGUAAUUUUAGGUAUGAUUAUUAGCACAUGAAACCGACUAUAUGUAAAUUGAUCAGAAUUCUACUACAUUUUUGACAGGACUAUAUUGCCAAAUAAAUCUUGAUUUCAGUCUUAAAAUCCUUUGACUAUUUAAAUCUUAAAAUAAUGUUUGGGACCCCAAACUCACACAAGCAGGAAGCAGGCUGUGAAUACUGCAUAACACCCAAGAGGGUAAUAUUCUCCAACAGGCUGUUUCAGAUGUGGUCAUGGAGGAUAACGCACCCAGAAGAAACUCUCAAAAGAACAAUGGACAACAGAAUUCCUCCCAAAAUGGAGAUCCCAUGGCUAAUCACGAAACUUCCUUCAUUGACAAAUAGCUUCCCAGCAUGAAUUCAUCGUUGCAAUGAACCAGCGAAUGCUGUGUUUCCUCUUCAUCCCUUUUCUGAAUGGUACACAGCUAAACUGCAUAUUCCAUCGUCCCUUGCAGUUAGAUGUAGCCAACUAAUGAGUUCUCACCAAUAGAACAUGAGUAGAAGUGCUGUGUACUGCUUUUGAAAAAGACUUUCAAGAGGGAUGUGAACCUCCUCCACAUUCUCUUUCCAUUUUCUGUUGGUAGGAUGAAGAACUGCCUUAGGAAUGGCAGAGCCACAGUUUCUUCCAUCAAGACAUGGAUUUUAUUUCCAUUCCCUUGGAUCUGGGCUGGCCUUCUAACUUGCUUUGGCCAACAGAAUGUGGCAGAAGUGACAGUGUGUCUGUUGCAAGUUUAAGUCCCAAGAGGCCUGUGAGUUUCCACUCUUUCUCUUGGAUCCCUGAGAUUGUCAUGUGAACAAGCCCUGUGAAAACAGAGUCAUUUGAGAAGAAGCGCCACACGAGGCAAACAAUGACACCAGGCAGAAAGGACUCGGGUGGAUCAAUACACUUGGACAGAUCCAGGAGGUGUGGUCUGGUUGGAGCGAUUCCUUUCAAAAAUCAUAUUAACUUUUCAAUGAUUCAUACUCAAUGCUUAGUACUUGACAGCUAGAAGAUAAUAAAUUAUCCACAAAUUUUCAAUGAGUCAUAAAGUCAUCGUCUUGGACUUUUCUUUCCUAUUUUAUUAUAGCAAGAAUAAAACUGUGAAUUCCUGAGGUUGCUGUCUUUAUGGCAUGCUUGUUAUAAAUCAUUUGGAACAUUUUAAUAUUCCUGUAUACCACCUUAGUGUUCUUUUAGUGCAAUGUUAGAACUCAAUGUUGUAAAAGAUACAUAAAUAUUUUUUAAAACUCCUACUUAUUCUUUUUGAUUUCAUCUUAAAUAUUGUAUUGUUCUGGAAGCAUUUUCUGGCCUCCUAAAUUAGGUUGUAUUCCCUUGCUGUGAAAAUUUAUACUUUCCUAUAGUAAUCCUCAUCACAUUUUAUUGUUGAUCCUUAUUUAAUUGUCUAUAUUUCCUUCUGGUCCAUCUUCUAGCCUAUGAUAGUCACAACCUUAUCUCCCUCAAGGCCUGGCACAUAGUUGGUGAUCAAGUUAUUUGUGGAACAAACAAGAUGCUUUUGCUUUUAACCACUGACUCUUCUUAAAAUUCCUUUAAUAAAUUUUAUUUAUACACUGUCCAUUCCAGAAAAGGAUGUGAGGUGGUCCUGAAAACUCUAGAGCACUGCAAAAUUGUUACUCUUUUAUCUAUCUCCAUCAUCUUGUCCUCUUUCCUUUCUUCUUUCUCCUUUAAGAGCAAGAAGUGUUGAUUUAAAAGAAUGGGCUUCACUUUUACUAGCUAUGUAGUCUUGAGCAAGUUACAUAAUCUUUAUCAUCUUAAGUCUUCUGAUACAUAAAAUUGGAAUAGUGGGAGGAUUAAAUGGAACAGUGUAUGUACAGAUCUUGCCCAUGAUAGAUACUCAAUAAACAUUACUUCUCUUACUCUGGGCAGAAGAAAAAAAUGGACUUAAAAAAAGAAAUCAUAUCCUAAACUCAUUGUUAUGUCAUGGCUCCUAUCCCAAAAAAACUAGAUAUGGCAGCUGCUAGGGUUCAGGACUUUUGCUGCGUACUUAAAUAAGCCUACCUGAUAAUCUGCUCUGCUCUCGUGGUAGGAAAUCUCAUGAGAUGGCGUCCUCUGUUAGCUCACAGCCUCGCUACCCAAGAGCAACUCUACUUUAGUACUCAGAAUUGCAGCAAAUACCAGAGCUGGAGUGUGACAGUGUGGGGAGGAGUGUGUGUUUAGUGGUGGUGUUUCAACCUUUCUACACCUUCAUUUCUUUAUCUGUAAGAUGGGGCUAAUAAAAGCACCACUUCCUGAGGCUAAUGUGAGUGUAAAUGAAUUAUGUAUGUGUGUGUUUGGCACAACACUGGGCACACAGCAAAGGCUCAGUAAAGAUCAACUUUUAAAAAGCAAAGUACAUGAUAAAAAUUUAUUCUUUGCUUUCUGAUAUGGAAUUUAUUUUUCAAAGUUCUCACGCAUUCACUAAUGGAAAAGGAAAAAUACCUCUCUAGUCAAUGAAUUCUAAAACUGGUUUUGGUCACCGGGAUAAAUCACUGAACACACAGUAAGAUACAAUUAUGAGUGCUAGCUGUGAAAUAACAGUAAACAAUUGUUUUGGUCAUUCUGAAUAUAGAGGUUUUACAGGAAUUGAUAGUAAUGUAUGUACUACCACUAAUGAAAGAAUACAACUUUUAAUAACAAGUAUCUUACUGGUAUUUCUGAAAAAACUACCCAGUUUAGACUAUCAUGAUAUGUGUAUUCCCAAAGAGCAUAAUUAUUUACCUUUACACAUGGUUGAAAAUACUUAAGGAAUAUCCUUUUCCUGCUUUUAGAUAAUACUAGCUACUGAACCAUCUUGCCUAGUCCUUUUUUUUUUUAAGUACUUCUAUGCACUAUUGGAUUAGCAAUGCUAUGUGGCUUGAUAGGCUCUUUUAAAAAUGACAUUGGCCUCUCUCUUCUCUCAGGAACCAGAGAAUGGAACAGCCUGUCAUCUUUCAUAAACAAUCCUUAGACAAUUUUUCCUCUCAUAGCUAGAGAGAGAGAAUAGUUUCACAUUAGAAGAUUAUUUUGAAUAGACAGUUGUCUCUCCCAACAUUAGAAAAGUUACGUUCAUUUUUCUUGACUGCAGUCUAGUUUUCCCUAAAUGCAAACCUGAGAGACAAUACAGAUGCAAGAUCUCAAGGUCAAAAUCUCAUGCCUAUGGGACUGCACAGACCUGCUAUUUCUGGCAUGUGUGCUCAACAACCCUCUCUCCUUUCGGUUUCCCACCACAAUUUACUACUUUAAAAUUCUGGGUGCCUGAUGAAUUAACAGACCUCAUCCCUGUCUUUGGAAGAUUAAAAGCACUGAACACAUAGUGAAAAUACAGUUUAUAUCUGGGGAAGGUGUCCAUAUCAAUAGGAUUAUAAUCAUAACAGCCAUUAUUAAACUUUUCUGAGAAACCCCCAAAGCCUCCUCUCUGAAGACUGCCUUUGUGCUAUGCAUUUGGGCAGAUGGACAGGAGCUGACACACAGGUGAGUCUCACCUUCUAUCAUGUAGGCAGUGCUGGUGGAGUAAGUGCACAGUCCAGAGAUGAAACAUAUUUCCUAUCUUUGUUUUGUGUAAAUGUGACUGAUUCUACAAGAGCUAUACACUAUAUAAUACAUUUAAGGUAUUAAGUGAUCUUCUGUGGGUACCAAAGAUUUUAAAAUCCAAAUUUCCACUAAAUGUAAAUGCAAACAUCCAAUUUCCCAAAACAGAAUGUGCUAUAUCUGCCUCAAAAUAAAGUAAAAUAACAAAGCAUUGUAUGUGUUGCUUUUCAAUUAGUUAAUUUAUUCAGUAACUUCUUUUUGUUGUAUUUAAUGUACCUAUUAGGAUCACUUUGUCCAUUUUCUUUCAAUGUCCGUAAAUUGCCACCACUCUGGAUGGACACUUUUCCCUAUAUGCAUAAAUGUUCCCUUUACUCUAAAUAUCAAUUUUUUAUUUAAAUGAUUUCUGAGCAUCUACAAUGUGCUUGGCCCUGGGCUAAAUGCUGAAAAUAUAAUAACGAAUAGGACCAAGUUUCAGCUCGGGUGUAGCACUCAGCCUAGCAGGGUUUAUAAAAUGUGUCUAUGAUACAAAUUUGGAUGUUGCCCUUCUCUGCCAUUCAUAUUCAUUCAGUUAUUCCAGAACGCUUUGAUUUAUAAAAUUUUCAUUUUGCACAUAUUACAUGCCAAAUGUUUUCACAGAAGCUCUGUGAAGUAGGCAUUAGGUUUCCACAAAUCACAAUUUAGAAGAUACUACUUGGCAUACAAAAUGAAAUAUGCCCACUAUUACUUUUUGAAAUUUUCAGUAAGAUAGUAACUAAUUUUGAAGAAAUUAAAUCAUGUUUCAAAGUACCUGUUUCUUAACAUUUUGAUCUAGAAAAAA
Equus caballus (horse) is the source of this 5278-nucleotide long non-coding RNA. RefSeq lists it as uncharacterized. The record is from RefSeq and is a predicted model, not a curated record. Lineage: Eukaryota; Metazoa; Chordata; Mammalia; Perissodactyla; Equidae.